UACGUAGGGUCCGAGCGUUGUCCGGAAUUACUGGGCGUAAAGAGCUCGUAGGUGGUUUGUCGCGUUGUUUCGUGAAAACUCACAGCUUAACUGUGGGCGUGCGGGCGAUACGGGGCAGACUUGAGUACUGCAGGGGGAGACUGGAAUUCCUGGUGUAGCGGUGGAAUGCGCAGAUAUCAGGAAGAACACCCGUGGCGGAAGGCGGCUCUCUGGGACGGUACUGACGCUGAGACGCGAAAGCGUGGGGAGCGAACAGG
RNAcentral lists this ribosomal RNA (257 nucleotides) under uncultured bacterium. RNAcentral's name for it is "partial 16S ribosomal RNA". It matches the Rfam family "Bacterial small subunit ribosomal RNA", at positions 524 to 776 of the family's 1533-position model. The record is from RNAcentral.